UACGUAGGGUGCAGGCGUUAAUCGGAAUUACUGGGCGUAAAGCGUGCGCAGGCGGUUUCUUAAGUCAGAUGUGAAAGCCCCGGGCUUAACCGGGGAACUGCGUCUGAUACUGGAUGGCUUGAGUUCGGGAGAGGGAUGUGGAAUUCCAGGUGUAGCGGUGAAAUGCGUAGAUAUCUGGAGGAACACCGGUGGCGAAGGCGGCAUCCUGGACCGACACUGACGCUGAUGAGCGAAAGCCGGGGGAGCAAACGGG
RNAcentral lists this ribosomal RNA (253 nucleotides) under uncultured bacterium. RNAcentral's name for it is "partial 16S ribosomal RNA". It matches the Rfam family "Bacterial small subunit ribosomal RNA", at positions 524 to 776 of the family's 1533-position model. The record is from RNAcentral.